Dreissena polymorpha is the source of this 155-nucleotide long non-coding RNA. RefSeq lists it as uncharacterized. The transcript is spliced from 3 exons. NCBI's taxonomy places the organism in Eukaryota, Metazoa, Mollusca, Bivalvia, Myida, Dreissenidae. The record is from RefSeq and is a predicted model, not a curated record.
AAAAACAUACUGCUAAAGUUUUUGUGCUUGAAAGUUGGGGAUGAGAGAAACCAGUUAAUUCCGGUUCUGACCAAGAUGCUGAAACUAAGUCCAGAGGAGAAACAUACCCUUACGCAAAUAGCCCAGGGAGAUGGCACUGGGGAAGUCCCACAGCC